CGCGGUGAAUACGUUCCCGGACCUUGUACACACCGCCCGUCAAGCCAUGGAAGCUGGGUGUACCUAAAGUCGGUAACCGCAAGGAGCCGCCUGGGGUAAAACUAGUAACUGGGGCU
This 116-nucleotide ribosomal RNA is filed under the name uncultured bacterium. RNAcentral describes it as "partial 16S ribosomal RNA". It matches the Rfam family "Bacterial small subunit ribosomal RNA", at positions 1358 to 1482 of the family's 1533-position model. The record is from RNAcentral.